Molecule: ribosomal RNA, 1254 nt
Filed under: Nissolia schottii
Lineage: Eukaryota; Viridiplantae; Streptophyta; Magnoliopsida; Fabales; Fabaceae
Description: bacterial SSU rRNA
Rfam family: Bacterial small subunit ribosomal RNA
Source: RNAcentral
UAACUGGCCCUACUUCAUUACCUGAUAAUGGAUCUGAAUUAUUCAUUGCUAUAUUUGUUGGCAUUCAUGGACGCAUGGCUAUAUAGACACUGGCCGAACGAGAGAUGAAAUUUUCAUUUGUCAAAUCAUUUUGUACGUGUAAUUUGUGGAGAGCUUCUGGAAAUCUACAAAUUCAAUUGAUGGAUUGAGAGAUAUAGAAGGUCCACGAGUUGUGAACUUCUUUUCCCAGAGAAGAAGCAAUGACGGUAUCCGGGGAAUAAGAAUCGGCUAACUCUGUGCCAGUAGCCGCAAUAAGACAGGAUACAAGCGGGGAUCAACCCUAGACAGGCGGUGGAAACUACCAAGGUGGAGUACGGUAGGGGCAGAGGGAAUUUCCAGUGGAGUGGUGAAAUCCGUAGAGAUCGGAAAGAACACCAACAGCGAAAACACUCUGCUGGGCCGACACUGACACUGAGAGACGAAAGCUAGGGGAGUGAAUGGGAUUAGAUACCCCAGUAGUCCUAGCCGUAAACAAUGGAUACUAGGCGCUGCACGUAUUGACCCGUGCAAUGCUGUAGCUAACACAUUAAGUAUCCCACCUGGGGAGUACAUUCGCAAGAAUGAAACUCAAAGGAAUUGAUGGGGGCCUGAAACUCAAAGGAAUUGAUGGGGGACGCACAAGCGGUGGGUCAUGUGGUUUAAUUCAAUGCAAAGCAAAGAACCUUACAAGGGCUUAACAUGCCACGAAUCCUCUUGAAAGAGAGGGGUGCCUUCGGGAACGCGGACACAGUUGGUGCAUGGAUGUCAUCAGCUCGUGUCGUAAGGUGUUGGGUUAAGUCCCGCAACAAGCGCAACCCUCGUGCUUAUUUGCCAACAUGAAGUUUGGAACCCUGAGCAGACUGCGGGUGAUAAGCCGGAGGAAGGUGAGAAUGACGUCAAGUCAUCAUGCCCGUUAUGCCCUAGGCGACACACAUGCUACAAUGGCCAAGAUAAAGGAUCGCGAUCUCGCCAGGGUGAGCUAACUCCAAAAAUCCGUCCUCAUUUCGGAUUGUAGGCUACAACUUGCUUGCAUGAAGCCGGAAUCGCUAGUAAUCAUCAGUCAGCCAUACGGCGGUGAAUUCGUUCCCAGGCCUUGUACACACCGCCCGUCACACUAUAUAUGGGAGCUGGCCAUGCCCGAAGUUGUUACCUUAACUGCAAAGAGGGGAUGUCGAAGGCAGGGCUAGUGACUGGAGUGAAGUCAUAACAAGGUAGUCGUACUAGAAGGUGCGACUG